AGAAAACUCGACAUGGGCUGCACCAUCCUCUCUCAGAGCCUUUGACAGGGAGCCGCGGACGAUAAGUGCAGACUUCGGUGCAACGGUGAGAAACGGCACGGGGCCCCCACGCACCUGUUCCCCGGCUCCCGCGGCGGCCACGCCCGGGACCUCGGCACAGCCAGCUCCCGGCGCUGCUGCUGCCCCCGCCGGGGCCCGUGCUCUUGGAUCUUGGUCCCCACACAGCGGCCGUGCACUGUGACCCGGCAGCUACCUGGAGGGCAGAAGCGUCCAGAACAGAAAGCACUGAGUUGGGACCACGGGCACCCGGAGAAUUCCCCAGGACGCUCCGCCCCGCAGAGCCGACCCGCGGCCGCACACCCCCCUGCACGCACCUGCGGCGGCCGCGCUUCCACGGGCGCACACGCGUCCCAGCGGACCCGCUCCGAGCACAAUGCAAACCCAGAUCUUCGGUGAAACGAAUGCCUUCCGAGCGACGGGCUGGGAGGCGGGCGUGGGGAGAGCGCGGCCUCGCGUGGAAGGACAACCCGAGUGCUUCCUGGAAGCCACCCGGGCACUUCUGCAGACAGCGGUCACGUCAUCGCGGCCACCCGGGGCUGUGCUGGGAAUCCCGGCGGGACGUGUGGGAGAGGCCAGAGGGGGGCUGAGGGGGCCGUUAGCGGACGGGGCGUUUCCGUGUCCCGAUAAGUGACUCUAAGCUGGACACAAAAACCACACACACGGUUUCCUAUGA
Suricata suricatta (meerkat) is the source of this 733-nucleotide long non-coding RNA. RefSeq lists it as uncharacterized. The record is from RefSeq and is a predicted model, not a curated record. NCBI's taxonomy places the organism in Eukaryota, Metazoa, Chordata, Mammalia, Carnivora, Herpestidae. The transcript has 2 exons.